Molecule: ribosomal RNA, 254 nt
Filed under: uncultured bacterium
Lineage: Bacteria
Description: partial 16S ribosomal RNA
Rfam family: Bacterial small subunit ribosomal RNA
Source: RNAcentral
UACGUAGGGGGCAAGCGUUGUCCGGAAUCAUUGGGCGUAAAGCGCGUGUAGGCGGCCUUGUAAGUCCGUUCUGAAAGCCCGGGGCUCAACCCCGGGAGGCGGAUGGAUACUGCAGGGCUCGAGUACGGAAGAGGCGAGUGGAAUUCCCGGUGUAGCGGUGAAAUGCGCAGAUAUCGGGAGGAACACCAAUGGCGAAGGCAGCUCGCUGGGACGUUACUGACGCUGAGACGCGAAAGCGUGGGGAGCAAACAGGG